AGAGAGAGACAUGCGCGCAUAUCAAUAAGCGGAGGAAAAGAAACUAACUAGGAUUCCCUUAGUAACGGCGAGUGAAGCGGGAAGAGCUCAAAUUUGAAAUCUUAAAGGUUUUCCCUUGACGAAUUGUAGUUUAAAGAAGUGUUUUCGGUUAGAGGAGUAGUAAAAGUUCUUUGGAAUAGGACAUCAUAGAGGGUGAGAAUCCCGUAUUUGACCUAUUAUUUCCAGCUUUGUGAUACACUUUCAAAGAGUCGGAUUGUUUGGGAAUGCAGUCCAAAAUGGGUGGUAAAUUUCAUCUAAAGCUAAAUAUUGGCGAGAGACCGAUAGCGAACAAGUACCGUGAGGGAAAGAUGAAAAGAACUUUGAAAAGAGAGUUAAACAGUACGUGAAAUUGUCAAAAGGGAAGCGUUUGACACCAGUGUUGUUUUUCCGAAAAUCAAUUACGAAUGUUUUAUUUUUGAGAGAGUUAUGACUUCAUCGGCUUGCUUCUUUCUUUACGAAACUUUCUUAAUGCACUUUUCGGUUAACAAGUCAACAUCAAUUUCUUUUGUUGUAAAAGAGUAUGAGGAAGGUGGCUUUCUUUUCGGAGAAAGUGUUUAUAGCCUUGUGCCUCUGCAAUCGGAGAGAUUGAGGUCUGCAGCGUAGAUCCUUCGGGGUUAGAUACAUUUGUGCUAAGUUACAGCUUUUCAUAGACAACUUGUUGACUAUGAUCAGUCAUGUAGCUUACUCGCUUAUGCUAUUUUACCUACGCUUAGGAUGUUGACAGCAGUAUAGACUGU
This 776-nucleotide ribosomal RNA is filed under the name uncultured Neocallimastigales. RNAcentral's name for it is "partial large subunit ribosomal RNA". It matches the Rfam family "Eukaryotic large subunit ribosomal RNA", at positions 23 to 635 of the family's 3401-position model. The record is from RNAcentral. Lineage: Eukaryota; Fungi; Neocallimastigomycota; Neocallimastigomycetes; Neocallimastigales.